AUGUCUGAAUCAGUAAAUUUGACUGUUUACUACGGCGCUGGUAACGUUCGAUAUAAUGAGUUGGGAGUUGAUCUUAGCGAGUUUAAAAAUGGUGUCAUGACACUAGCAGACCCGGACAGACUGGACAUUAGACAAUUGAAGUACUGGUUGAUAACUAGUUUCGGGCUUGAUCCUGAAGUAUGUUCCGUCAGUAUUCACGCAUUGUGGACCAAAUCUUGUAAAAAUGUCAAGUGGGAGUUGAUGCCGGUAGAUAGGAGCCAACAUUGGUUGUCCCUGUUAAGACGCUGCCGAGACCGAAGAAUCCACCCAUAUGUACUUGUGCAACCUGUGCCGAAGGAGGAGAAUGCCGUACAACUCCACAGGGGGUAUGAAACCGGUCAGGGCAGUGAAGUGGCGACCGAGAUUGUUUUAUCCGGGUCACAGCCACAAGAUGUGUAUGCUAGCCAACCCGAUAAAGAGUCGGAGUACGUGCCACACAAUGUUUGUGGUCCUGAUACUGGGCAGAGUAGCCAGUCGAUAAUAUUAGCUGGUUCUGGUUUUGCUGACGGGGAUGAGGAAGGGGAUGAAAUGCAGAGGGUGAUGGAGCAAGAGGACGAGGAUGGAUUGGUGGAGGAACUGGAUUCUGAAAAUUCUGAGGAUGAAGUGGAGGUACCGAUUCCUUCUGCAUGGGAGCAGGACAUAUCCACUGGCCUUACGGUCAACGAUGGCCAUGAGACUCCAUGGCAGUAUAAUCUGAACCAAGUACAGAUAGGGGCUAUGUUUGAUACAAAGAAAAAAUUGAAGUAUGCGGUGAUAAAGUGGGCUAUGUCUACGCAGAGGGUUUUCCUGACACACAUAUCAAGUCCAACAAACUAUACCGUGAAAUGUGUUGAAACAAGUUGUCCUGGGAAGGUGCACGGGCAUGUGCCGAAGUAUGACAUCCACUGGGUUGUCACCAUUGUCGUCUCACAUAAUUGUGUGAGGAAGAACCUGUUGGUGAAGCAUCCGAACCUGACUUCAAGUCUCAUUGCGCAACUCAUGUAUACUGAGAUAGUAGAGAAGAAAGAUAUGGAAUCAAAACACAUCCAGACAGCAGUGAAGGUCAGAUGGAAUUAUGUCAUUCCUUAUGGGAAGGCUUGGAGGGCUAAGCAGAAGGCUAUGGAGGAAAGGUUUGGGACGUUCUUUGACUCAUAUGAUAAUGUUGUCCGUCUCCUGGGCAUACUGAAGGAGAGGAAUCCCGGCACUUAUGUGAAUGUACAACACAUGAGGUUGCUGAGUAUACCAGAUUUCAAGGUGUUGAAACGAGUGUUCUUCUCUGGUAUGUGCAUCGAAGCUUUCCGGCAUUGUCCUCCUGUUAUGUUUGUGGAUGGUACAUUCCUGACCGGUCAGUAUAGAGGGCAAAUUCUGACUGCUAUUGGUGUGGACGGGAACAAUCAAAUCAUCCCACUUGCCAUGGCAUUUGUGGAGGGUGAGAACUUUCUCAGCUGGGUAUGGUUCUUCCGCCAAGUGAAAAUUGCCAUCGUGAAGGACCGACCAAACGUGUGUGUCAUUCAUGACAGACAUGCUGGUAUAUUGAAGGCCGUGAAGACACUUCGUAAUCCAACAGAUGACGAACCAACACCUUGGAGGGACUUGCAGAGCCGGUGGUGCAUGCGCCAUCUUGGGGCUAAUUUUUUUUCACAGUUCAAGAACAAGCGGUUGAUGAACUUGUUCAAAAAAUUAUGCAAGCAGAGCCAACAACGCAAAUACGAAUUUAUUUGGUCAAAACUAGAUGAGUUUACUAAGAAGCAGGUCCGUGCGAGGAAGAAAAUGGAAGAAGAUCAAGUUAAAUUAGCAGCACUCAUCGCGGAGCUAGAGGAGCCAGUAGGUCUUUGUGACUUGCCAGCAAUUGACCCUCCUAAUACUAAGAGAAAGAAGGGAAGGGCAAUAAAGAAUUCUUCUGAGUGGAUAGAGAAAGAGCCUCCAGUGAAUUGGUCUUUGCUGCAUGACACACAUGGAGCUAGGUAUGGCCACAUGACAACCAAUCUUGCAGAGGUGUAUAACUUUGUGCUGAGAGGGAAUAGAGCAUUGCCACUCACAGCUAUUGUGGAGGCUGUAUUCCACGGCACUUUGAGAUAUUUCAUAGAAAGGCACGAGUUAGCAAAGAAGCAUAUUGAAGAUAAUCAGAACACACCUUAUUGUAGCCGUGUCAUGGAAUACAUGGCAAAGAAGAUAGAGAAAGCAAAGAAGCACACUGUCAGACUCAUAGGGAAUCAAGAAAGGAGGUAUGAGGUUCAGCUUCCUAUCGAUGGUUUUGGUUCUGGAAAUGAGGUGAAGACACACGAGGUAAAAAUUGGAACGGAAUUUUAUUCAACGUGUGAGUGUACAUGCAACAAACCGAAGUUGUUGCACCUACCUUGCUCUCAUGUGUUGGCUGCCUGUGGCCAGAUUGAAUUGGAUGCUAUCUCCUUCGUGUCCCCAUACUUUUUAAAAGAGGCAGUGCUCAACACCUGGACAGGCGAGAUGACAGGGUUUAGAGUCGUCGGCAAUUUUAACAAGGUAAACGACGGUGAGAGAGUAUACAUCCCGCAUCCAGACCUUCGGCGAACAAGUAGGGGCAGACGAAAGGCCCGUCGCAUCCGGAACGAUAUGGACCAGUCUGAAGCUGGUGGAGCAACCAGGCAAUGUUUGUUAUGCGCGGCUUAUGGGCAUAGGAUGAAAUAUUGUCCCGACCUGAACAAAGAUGGUGCUUCCGCAUCGACGAGUGCUUCCACAUCGACGGGUGCGACAACAAGAGCAAGAGGCGGACGUGGUCGUGGCAGUCGAGGCCGAAGGGGCGGACGAGGAAGAAAUAACUCACAAGCUAUAUAA
This 2829-nucleotide ribosomal RNA is filed under the name Triticum aestivum (bread wheat). RNAcentral describes it as "partial small subunit ribosomal RNA". The record is from RNAcentral. Lineage: Eukaryota; Viridiplantae; Streptophyta; Magnoliopsida; Poales; Poaceae.